Molecule: ribosomal RNA, 442 nt
Filed under: uncultured bacterium
Lineage: Bacteria
Description: partial 16S ribosomal RNA
Rfam family: Bacterial small subunit ribosomal RNA
Source: RNAcentral
CCUACGGGAGACAGCAGUGGGGAAUAUUGGGCAAUGGGCGCAAGCCUGACCCAGCAACGCCGCGUGAAGGAAGAAGGCUUUCGGGUUGUAAACUUCUUUUAAGGGGGAAGAGCAGAAGACGGUACCCCUUGCAUAAGCCACGGCUAACUACGUGCCAGCAGCCGCGGUAAUACGUAGGUGGCAAGCGUUGUCCGGAUUUACUGGGUGUAAAGGGCGUGCAGCCGGAGAGACAAGUCAGAUGUGAAAUCCACGGGCUCAACCCGUGAACUGCAUUUGAAACUGUUUCCCUUGAGUGUCGGAGAGGUAAUCGGAAUUCCUUGUGUAGCGGUGAAAUGCGUAGAUAUAAGGAAGAACACCAGUGGCGAAGGCGGAUUACUGGACGAUAACUGACGGUGAGGCGCGAAAGCGUGGGGAGCAAACAGGAUUAGAUACCCGGGUAGUC